Oncorhynchus mykiss (rainbow trout) is the source of this 119-nucleotide ribosomal RNA. NCBI's taxonomy places the organism in Eukaryota, Metazoa, Chordata, Actinopteri, Salmoniformes, Salmonidae. The record is from Ensembl.
GCUUGCGGCCACACUGGCCUGAGUACGCCUGAUCUCGUCCGAUCUCGGAAGCUAAGCAGGGUCGGGCCUGGUGAGUACUUGGAUGGGAGACCGCCUGGGAAUACCAGGUGCUGUAAGCU